CGACGUCGCGUGUGGGAUGAAGCCUUCGGGCGUAAACCACUUUUAUCGGGAAAGAAAAAAAUAGACGGUACCCGAUGAAUAAGCCCCGGCUAACUACGUGC
RNAcentral lists this ribosomal RNA (101 nucleotides) under uncultured bacterium. RNAcentral's name for it is "partial 16S ribosomal RNA". It matches the Rfam family "Bacterial small subunit ribosomal RNA", at positions 392 to 508 of the family's 1533-position model. The record is from RNAcentral.